Molecule: ribosomal RNA, 503 nt
Filed under: uncultured bacterium
Lineage: Bacteria
Description: partial 16S ribosomal RNA
Rfam family: Bacterial small subunit ribosomal RNA
Source: RNAcentral
AUUGAACGCUGGCGGCAGGCUUAACACAUGCAAGUCGAGCGGGGUGAUGGUGCUUGCACUAUCACUUAGCGGCGGACGGGUGAGUAAUGCUUAGGAAUCUGCCUAUUAGUGGGGGACAACAUCUCGAAAGGGAUGCUAAUACCGCAUACGUCCUACGGGAGAAAGCAGGGGAUCACUUGUGACCUUGCGCUAAUAGAUGAGCCUAUGUCGGAUUAGCUAGUUGGUGGGGUAAAGGCCUACCAAGGCGACGAUCUGUAGCGGGUCUGAGAGGAUGAUCCGCCACACUGGGACUGAGACACGGCCCAGAAUCCUACGGGAGGCAGCAGUGGGGAAUAUUGGACAAUGGGGGGAACCCUGAUCCAGCCAUGCCGCGUGUGUGAAGAAGGCCUUAUGGUUGUAAAGCACUCUAAGCGAGGAGGAGGCUCUUUUGGUUAAUACCCAAGAUGAGUGGACGUUACUCGCAGAAUAAGCACCGGCUAACUCUGUGCCAGCCGCCGCCGUAA